AAAACUAUACUUUCAGGGAUCAUUUCUGUCGUUUGUUACUAGAGAAGUUUCUCUGAAUGUGUGGACUACCCAAAACCACAAGGAGGAGGCACAGCAGUCUCUCCUGAAUAUGAAGCCAGCUGUUGGUGUUGCUCCUGCAACUGCCAUUAGUCACUGAUGAUUGUUCUCUUCCUUUGGGAGAGUAAGAGGGAAAGAACGUUGUCUGAGCUGA
Molecule: small nucleolar RNA, 211 nt
Organism: Bos grunniens (domestic yak)
Lineage: Eukaryota; Metazoa; Chordata; Mammalia; Artiodactyla; Bovidae
Gene: U3
Rfam family: Small nucleolar RNA U3
About the family: Small nucleolar RNAs (snoRNAs) are involved in the processing and modification of rRNA in the nucleolus. There are two main classes of snoRNAs: the box C/D class, and the box H/ACA class. U3 snoRNA is a member of the box C/D class.
Source: Ensembl